CAAAAACAUGUCCUUUAGGAUUGAAUUUAAGGUCUAGCCUGCCCACUGAGUUAUUAAAUGGCCGCAGUAUUUUAACUGUGCAAAGGUAGCAUAAUCAUUAGUCUUUUAAUUGAAGGCUUGUAUGAAUGGUUGGACAAAAUAUAUAUUGUUUCAUGUAAAUUAAUAGAAUUUUAUUUUUUAGUUAAAAAGCUGAAAUUUAAUUAAAAGACGAGAAGACCCUAUAGAUCUUUAUAGUUGUUGAGUUUAAUUUAUGAAGAAUGGUUUAUUUUUAAUUUAUUUAACUAUUUUAUUGGGGUGAUAGUAAGAUUUAUUUAACUCUUGUGUGAUUUAAUACAUAAAUUAAUGAUUAGUUGAUCCAGUAUUAUUGAUUAGUAAAAUAAGUUACCUUAGGGAUAACAGCGUAAUUUUUUUAGAGAGUUCAUAUCGAUAAAAAAGAUUGCGACCUCGAUGUUGGAUUAAGAGAUAAGUUUGGGCGCAGCCGUUCAAAUUUAAAGUCUGUUCGACUUUUUGAUUCUUACAUGAUCUGA
This 527-nucleotide ribosomal RNA is filed under the name Prosoeca ganglbaueri. Its description in RNAcentral is "partial large subunit ribosomal RNA". It matches the Rfam family "Bacterial large subunit ribosomal RNA", at positions 1808 to 2608 of the family's 2925-position model. Lineage: Eukaryota; Metazoa; Arthropoda; Insecta; Diptera; Nemestrinidae. The record is from RNAcentral.